Molecule: ribosomal RNA, 417 nt
Filed under: uncultured Eubacteriales bacterium
Lineage: Bacteria; Bacillati; Bacillota; Clostridia; Eubacteriales
Description: bacterial SSU rRNA
Rfam family: Bacterial small subunit ribosomal RNA
Source: RNAcentral
UGGAUUAGUGGCGGACGGGUGAGUAACGCGUGAGCAAUCUGCCUUACACAAAGGGAUAGCCUCGGGAAACCGGGAUUAAUACCAUAUGAUAUCUAUUGACCGCAUGGUUUAUAGAUUAAAGAAUUUCGGUGUAAGAUGAGCUCGCGUCCCAUUAAUUAGUUGGUGAGGGUAACGGCCCACCAAGAUAGCGAUGGGUAGCCGAUCUAAGAGGAUGACCGGCCACAUUGGAACUGAGAAACGGUCCAAACUCCUACGGGAGGCAGCAGUGGGGAAUAUUGCACAAUGGGGGGAACCCUGAUGCAGCGACGCCGCGUGAGCGAUGAAGGCUUUCGAGUCGUAAAGCUCUGUCCUAUGGGAAGAUAAUGACGGUACCAUAGAAGAAAGCCCCGGCUAAUUACGUGCCAGCAGCCGCGGUAA